GAUGAAGAACGUAGCGAAAUGCGAUAAGUAAUGUGAAUUGCAGAAUUCAGUGAAUCAUCGAAUCUUUGAACGCACAUUGCGCCCCCUGGUAUUCCGGGGGGCAUGCCUGUCCGAGCGUCAUUACAAACCUCAAGCUCAGCUUGGUGUUGGGCCCCGCCGCCCCGGCGGGCCCUAAAGUCAGUGGCGGUGCCGUCCGGCUCCGAGCGUAGUAAUUCUUCUCGCUCUGGAGGUCCGGUCGUGUGCUCGCCAGCAACCCCCAAUUUUUUUCAGGUUGACCUCGGAUCAGGUAGGGAUACCCGCUGAACUUAAGCAUAUCAAUAAGCGGAGGA
RNAcentral lists this unclassified non-coding RNA (329 nucleotides) under soil metagenome. RNAcentral describes it as "partial contains 5.8S ribosomal RNA, internal transcribed spacer 2, and large subunit ribosomal RNA". The stretch from base 1 to 120 matches the Rfam family "5.8S ribosomal RNA", at positions 35 to 154 of the family's 154-position model. The record is from RNAcentral.